RNAcentral lists this unclassified non-coding RNA (273 nucleotides) under Glomus sp. Its description in RNAcentral is "partial contains 5.8S ribosomal RNA and internal transcribed spacer 2". The stretch from base 1 to 65 matches the Rfam family "5.8S ribosomal RNA", at positions 84 to 154 of the family's 154-position model. The record is from RNAcentral. Lineage: Eukaryota; Fungi; Glomeromycota; Glomeromycetes; Glomerales; Glomeraceae.
GUGAAUCAUCAAAUUUUUGAACGCAAAUUGCACUCUCCUCGGAGAGUAUGCCUGUUUGAGGGUCAGCCUAUAAAAAAUCGACAUCGUUGCUGUUUCGCGGUGGCGUUCGUCGGAAAUUGGGUUAUCUUAAAUCCUUUUGGGUUUUAAGCGACUUAAAAUUUUCUUUUUGUUUACAUGAACUUUUCUACGAUUUAUUUCUUUUCACUUUUACUGUAUCGAUUUUUAUUAGUCGUUAUCAUCUUAACGGAUCACGCACAUAAUCUUUCAUUAACA